CAUGGCCUUGCGCCGGCGAUGGUUCAUUCAAAUUUCUGCCCUAUCAACUUUCGAUGGUAGGAUAGUGGCCUACCAUGGUGGCAACGGGUAACGGGGAAUUAGGGUUCGAUUCCGGAGAGGGAGCCUGAGAAACGGCUACCACAUCCAAGGAAGGCAGCAGGCGCGCAAAUUACCCAAUCCCGAUACGGGGAGGUAGUGACAAUAAAUACUGAUACGGGGCUCUUUUGGGUCUCGUAAUUGGAAUGAGUACAAUUUAAAUACCUUAACGAGGAACAAUUGGAGGGCAAGUCUGGUGCCAGCAGCCGCGGUAAUUCCAGCUCCAAUAGCGUAUAUUAAAGUUGUUGCAGUUAAAAAGCUCGUAGUUGAACCUUGGGUCUGGCUGGCCGGUCCGCCUCACCGCGAGUACUGGUCCGGCUGGACCUUUCCUUCUGGGGAACCUCAUGGCCUUCACUGGCUGUGGGGGGAACCAGGACUUUUACUGUGAAAAAAUUAGAGUGUUCAAAGCAGGCCUUUGCUCGAAUACAUUAGCAUGGAAUAAUAGAAUAGGACGUGCGGUUCUAUUUUGUUGGUUUCUAGGACCGCCGUAAUGAUUAAUAGGGAUAGUCGGGGGCGUCAGUAUUCAGCUGUCAGAGGUGAAAUUCUUGGAUUUGCUGAAGACUAACUACUGCGAAAGCAUUCGCCAAGGAUGUUUUCAUUAAUCAGGGAACGAAAGUUAGGGGAUCGAAGACGAUCAGAUACCGUCGUAGUCUUAACCAUAAACUAUGCCGACUAGGGAUCGGGCGGUGUUUCUAUGAUGACCCGCUCGGCACCUUACGAGAAAUCAAAGUUUUUGGGUUCUGGGGGGAGUAUGGUCGCAAGGCUGAAACUUAAAGAAAUUGACGGAAGGCACCACAAGGCGUGGACCCUGCGGCUUAAUUUGACUCAACACGGGGAAACUCACCAGGUCCAGACAAAAUAAGGAUUGACAGAUUGAGAGCUCUUUCUUGAUCUUUUGGAUGGUGGUGCAUGGCCGUUCUUAGUUGGUGGAGUGAUUUGUCUGCUUAAUUGCGAUAACGAACGAGACCUCGGCCCUUAAAUAGCCCGGUCCGCAUUUGCGGGCCGCUGGCUUCUUAGGGGGACUAUCGGCUCAAGCCGAUGGAAGUGCGCGGCAAUAACAGGUCUGUGAUGCCCUUAGAUGUUCUGGGCCGCACGCGCGCUACACUGACAGGGCCAGCGAGUACAUCACCUUGGCCGAGAGGUCUGGGUAAUCUUGUUAAACCCUGUCGUGCUGGGGAUAGAGCAUUGCAAUUAUUGCUCUUCAACGAGGAAUGCCUAGUAGGCACGAGU
Molecule: ribosomal RNA, 1326 nt
Filed under: Aspergillus clavatus NRRL 1
Lineage: Eukaryota; Fungi; Ascomycota; Eurotiomycetes; Eurotiales; Aspergillaceae
Description: SSU rRNA
Rfam family: Eukaryotic small subunit ribosomal RNA
Source: RNAcentral